GACGAACGCUGGCGGCGUGCUUAACACAUGCAAGUCGAACGAUGAAGCGGUGCUUGCACCGUGGAUUAGUGGCGAACGGGUGAGUAAUACGUGAGUGACCUACCUUUGACUCUGGGAUAAGCCUGGGAAACUGGGUCUAAUACCGGAUACGACCAAUCUCUGCAUGGGGUGUUGGUGGAAAGCGUUAUGGAGUGGUUUUAGAUGGGCUCACGGCCUAUCAGCUUGUUGGUGAGGUAAUGGCUUACCAAGGCGACGACGGGUAGCCGGCCUGAGAGGGUGACCGGCCACACUGGGACUGAGACACGGCCCAGACUCCUACGGGAGGCAGCAGUGGGGAAUAUUGCACAAUGGGCGCAAGCCUGAUGCGGCGACGCCGCGUGAGGGAUGACGGCCUUCGGGUUGUAAACCUCUGUUAGCAUCGAAGAAGCGAAAGUGACGGUAGGUGCAGAGAAAGCGCCGGCUAACUACGUGCCAGCAGCCGCGGUAAUACGUAGGGCGCGAGCGUUGUCCGGAAUUAUUGGGCGUAAAGAGCUUGUAGGCGGUUGGUCGCGUCUGCUGUGAAGGCCGGGGCUUAACUCCGGUUUUGCAGUGGGUACGGGCUAACUAGAGUGCAGUAGGGGAGACUGGAAUUCCUGGUGUAGCGGUGGAAUGCACAGAUAUCAGGAGGAACACCGAUGGCGAAGGCAGGUCUCUGGGCUGUAACUGACGCUGAGAAGCGAAAGCAUGGGGAGCGAACAGGAUUAGAUACCCUGGUAGUCCAUGCCGUAAACGUUGGGCACUAGGUGUGGGGGACAUUCCACGUUUUCCGCGCCGUAGCUAACGCAUUAAGUGCCCCGCCUGGGGAGUACGGCCGCAAGGCUAAAACUCAAAGGAAUUGACGGGGGCCCGCACAAGCGGCGGAGCAUGCGGAUUAAUUCGAUGCAACGCGAAGAACCUUACCAAGGCUUGACAUGCAUUAGAUCGCGUCAGAGAUGGCGUUUCCCUUCGGGGCUGGUGUACAGGUGGUGCAUGGUUGUCGUCAGCUCGUGUCGUGAGAUGUUGGGUUAAGUCCCGCAACGAGCGCAACCCUCGUUCUAUGUUGCCAGCGGUUCGGCCGGGGACUCAUAGGAGACUGCCGGGGUUAACUCGGAGGAAGGUGGGGAUGACGUCAAAUCAUCAUGCCCCUUAUGUCUUGGGCUUCACGCAUGCUACAAUGGCCGGUACAGAGGGUUGCGAUACUGUGAGGUGGAGCUAAUCCCUUAAAGCCGGUCUCAGUUCGGAUUGGGGUCUGCAACUCGACCCCAUGAAGUCGGAGUCGCUAGUAAUCGCAGAUCAGCAACGCUGCGGUGAAUACGUUCCCGGGCCU
This 1345-nucleotide ribosomal RNA is filed under the name uncultured bacterium. RNAcentral's name for it is "bacterial SSU rRNA". It matches the Rfam family "Bacterial small subunit ribosomal RNA", at positions 28 to 1381 of the family's 1533-position model. The record is from RNAcentral.